Xyrichtys novacula (pearly razorfish) is the source of this 1679-nucleotide non-coding RNA. Lineage: Eukaryota; Metazoa; Chordata; Actinopteri; Labriformes; Labridae. The record is from the annotation of a GenBank genome assembly.
CUGCUGGACACUUAGUUACAUCACAUUUAAUAGCAAGCUGAAUGAGGCCGUUGUCAAUUUUAGAAAAGUAACCAUCGACUGAAUGAGCCUUUUGUCUUCGUUUUUUAACAUGUUAUCACAACAUAACUCCCCCACAGCCACCUGCAGGUCAUCUGUUUUUCAUAUGCUUGAAAACAAUGGAGCUAAAAUGAGUUUUAAUAUUGACCUGUUACUCGGAAAAUAAGCUGUCUUGGAAAAAAAACAAAAACAAACAAUAAAGACAGUGGUCAGCACUGUGGUACUGAGGAUUAGAAGCACAAACACCGUGUGGAAAAAAAGAAGCGAGAAAGCAUUUCAGCUCCGCUAAACAGUGGCAAACACUUGGCUCCGAUACAAAACUGAAUAACGACUGAAAAAAGCAAUAAGUGCCCGAGUGCUCCCGCUCUAUCUCUUUCUUACAGCCUUGGCAAACACAGCAUUAGUAAACAUGAUUAGCUUUACAUUGCUGUCACAAUACUCCAGUGAAUGAUGUAAUAACGCAUUUUAAUAAUGCCACCCGCACCGACUUCCAGAUAAAACCGCUCCGCAAGUUCAUUUAAACUGAAAAUAUGACAGCUGCUGUCAUUAUAUAUUCAUUGGGAGUCAAUUAAGUCAGUGAAUCAAUUAGCAGAAUGAACACUAUGUAUGUGGUAUCUUCUUAAUUACUUGUUAACGCUGUAUGUCCUCGUGCCAUGCGGGCCCUCUGUCAGCUUUUUUCUUCCUGCCUUUUUGCUUCAACUCCAGCGAUUAGAGGAGAAAGGAUUCGGUGCCAGAGAGCUAACCUAAGCUAUUGGCUCACUGUGUGCCAGUUUUGGGGGGGCUGGGGGGCUGUGACGGUGGGGGAAAAAAAAGAGGGAAAGAGCAAGCAGGGGACUCCUCUCUCUUCGCUCUGUGCUCCAUUUUUUUUUACAGUGACUCCUCUCGCUGAGUCUGAGAGCUGCAACGUGCCGCAGCCACGUGCUGGCGGCCACCUCACACCAAAGACUGGAACCUUGACCUCACAGCACCCCCCUCGGGCACCCCCUCCCAACCUCCCCACCCUCCUUCCACUGCUCCUUCUUCCCUCCUCUGUCCUCGAUCCACCCUCCCUAGACUGAUCUCUCCUUAUUUUUUCAUUCCAGAGUUUUUUUUUUUCCCUCGCCCUCCUGAACCGUCCCACUUAUUCCUGCCUCUUCCUCUCUCAUCCUCUCCUGUCUUCUUUUCCUCUUCUUCUAUCCUUCUUGUCCCGGUCUCAGUGUUAUCCCGCUUUAGAAGCUGGCUGCCUGUGACUGGAAUCCCUCAUUAUACUGCCGAAAGUGACAAACCAACAAAGACAGCCGGAUGUGUGAGUUGUUGCUUUUUAUUUGCCGUUUACUGUCUCCUGUAUUUAUUCCCUCAUGGAGAACACACCAAAACUAGAAAAAAAAAAAAAAAUCUAGGAUGCUGUUAGGACCUUCACUAAAAAAUAUUUUUUAUAGUAAGCAACUAAUUGAAAGCUGAUAUUUUUAAUUGAAUAAAGUGCAAAGAAAGACAGCAUAUCCCCACGUUUAAAAUGAGGAUGGAGGAUGCCCUGUCCAUAAUUUCCAAAAAGGAUGUCAAAAUUUCAAUACUUGAAAACUGCUGUGUAGUUUUCCACUGGCAUUCAACAGGUUUAACAGGCACCCAUCCGAUAUUUGAUAUCC